GAUGAACGCUGGCGGCGUGCCUAAUACAUGCAAGUCGAGCGAACAGACGAGGAGCUUGCUCCUCUGACGUUAUCGGCGGACGGGUGAGUAACACGUGUUUAACCUACCUCUACGACUGGGAUAACUUCGGGAAACCGGAGCUAAUACCGGAUAAUAUAUUGAACCGCAUGGUUCAAGAGUGAAAUACGGUUUUUCUGUCACUUAUAGAUGGCUCCGCGCCGCAUUAGCUAGUUGGUAAGGUAACGGCUUACCAAGGCAACGAUGCGUAGCCGACCUGAGAGGGUGAUCGGCCACACUGGAACUGAGACACGGUCCAGACUCCUACGGGAGGCAGCAGUAGGGAAUCUUCCGCAAUGGGCGAAAGCCUGACGGAGCAACGCCGCGUGAGUGAUGAAGGUCUUCGGAUCGUAAAACUCUGUUAUUAGGGAAGAACAAAUGUGUAAGUAACUAUGCACGUCUUGACGGUACCUAAUCAGAAAGCCACGGCUAACUACGUG
RNAcentral lists this ribosomal RNA (497 nucleotides) under uncultured bacterium. RNAcentral's name for it is "partial 16S ribosomal RNA". It matches the Rfam family "Bacterial small subunit ribosomal RNA", at positions 28 to 507 of the family's 1533-position model. The record is from RNAcentral.